RNAcentral lists this ribosomal RNA (493 nucleotides) under uncultured bacterium. RNAcentral's name for it is "partial 16S ribosomal RNA". It matches the Rfam family "Bacterial small subunit ribosomal RNA", at positions 28 to 507 of the family's 1533-position model. The record is from RNAcentral.
GACGAACGCUGGCGGCGUGCUUAACACAUGCAAGUCGAACGGUGAAGGGACCGGUUUUUGCUGGUUCUGGAUGAGUGGCGAACGGGUGAGUAACACGUGAGUAACCUGCCCCCUUCUUCUGGAUAACCGCAUGAAAGUGUGGCUAAUACGUGAUAUUCUGCGCCUGCUGCAUGGUGGGUGUGGGAAAGAUAUUGUUUCGGUGGGGGAUGGGCUCGCGGCCUAUCAGCUUGUUGGUGGGGUGAUGGCCUACCAAGGCGGUGACGGGUAGCCGGCCUGAGAGGGUGGACGGUCACACUGGGAAUGAGACACGGCACAGACUCCUACGGGAGGCAGCAGUGGGGAAUAUUGCACAAUGGGCGCAAGCCUGAUGCAGCGACGCCGCGUGAGGGAUGGAGGCCUUCGGGUUGUAAACCUCUUUCGCCAGUGAAGCAGGCCUGUCCCUUGUGUGGGUGGGUUGACGGUAGCUGGAUAAGAAGCGCCGGCUAACUACGUG